This 520-nucleotide ribosomal RNA is filed under the name uncultured Diversispora. Its description in RNAcentral is "SSU rRNA". It matches the Rfam family "Eukaryotic small subunit ribosomal RNA", at positions 569 to 1082 of the family's 1831-position model. Lineage: Eukaryota; Fungi; Glomeromycota; Glomeromycetes; Diversisporales; Diversisporaceae. The record is from RNAcentral.
AGCAGCCGCGGUAAUUCCAGCUCCAAUAGCGUAUAUUAAAGUUGUUGCAGUUAAAAAGCUCGUAGUUGAACCUCGGGGUUCACCCAUUGGUCAGGCUUAAUUGUCUGUACUGGUGAGAUGAGUCUCUACCUUCUGAGGAACUUUCAUGCCAUUUGUUUGGUGUGAUGGGGAAAUCAGGACUGUUACUUUGAAAAAUUAGAGUGUUUAAAGCAGGCUAACGUCUGAAUACAUUAGCAUGGAAUAAUGAAAUAGGACAGAUUGAUUCUAUUUCGUUGGUUUCUAGGGUCACCGUAAUAAUUAAUAGGGAUAGUUGGGGGGCAUUAGUAUUCAAUUGUCAGAGGUGAAAAUUCUUGGAUUUAUUGAAGACUUAACUACUGCGAAAAGCAUUUGCCAAGGAUGUUUUCAUUAAUCAAGAAUGAAAGUUAGGGGGAUCGAGGACGAUCAGAUACCGUCGGUAGUCUUAACCAUAAAACUAUGCCGACUAGGGAUCGGACGCAGUUAAUUUAUAAUGACGUGUUCG